This 384-nucleotide ribosomal RNA is filed under the name uncultured bacterium. Its description in RNAcentral is "bacterial SSU rRNA". It matches the Rfam family "Bacterial small subunit ribosomal RNA", at positions 28 to 437 of the family's 1533-position model. The record is from RNAcentral.
GGUGAACGCUGGCGGCGUGCCUAACACAUGCAAGUCGAUCGGAGCAGCAAUGCUUAGAGGCGAACGGGUGAGGAAAACGUAGUAACCAACCCUUUAGACUGGGAUAGCCACUGGAAACGGUGGGUAAUACCGGAUAAGCUCGAGAGAGGAAAGGCAGAGAAGCGCUAAAGGACGGAACUGCGCCCCAUCAGAUAGUUGGUGAGGUAAAGGCUUACCAAGGCGACGAUGGUUAGCUGGUCUGAGAGGACGACCAGCCACACUGGGACUGAGACACGGUCCAGACUCCUACGGGAGGCAGCAGUGGGGAAUAUUGCACAAUGGGCGCAAGCCUGAUGCAGCCAUGCCGCGUGUAUGAAGAAGGCCUUCGGGUUGUAAAGUACUUUC